RNAcentral lists this transfer RNA (86 nucleotides) under Wohlfahrtiimonas chitiniclastica SH04. RNAcentral describes it as "Selenocysteine transfer RNA". It matches the Rfam family "Selenocysteine transfer RNA". The record is from Rfam by way of RNAcentral. Lineage: Bacteria; Pseudomonadati; Pseudomonadota; Gammaproteobacteria; Cardiobacteriales; Ignatzschineriaceae.
GGAAGUAAAUGGGUCCUGGGGGCCCCGCGGUCUUCAACACCGUUGUCAGCCUAUCGGCUGAGGUAGGUUCGAUUCCUGCUGCUUCC